Long non-coding RNA from Leucoraja erinaceus (little skate), 3036 nucleotides. RefSeq lists it as uncharacterized. The transcript is spliced from 3 exons. The record is from RefSeq and is a predicted model, not a curated record. NCBI's taxonomy places the organism in Eukaryota, Metazoa, Chordata, Chondrichthyes, Rajiformes, Rajidae.
AGAGUGAGGGUGAAGAGGAAGAGGAGGGAGUGUUGUGGAUGAGGGGAAAUGAGCCGCACCUGCACAGUUUGAGGUUACGCGUGAAUAGUGGAAUAUUGUGUUGGGGGAAUGGGUUGCGUUGGGGGAACGGGUGAGUGGUGGAAUAUUGCGUUGGGGAAUGGGUUAUGUUGGGGGACCAGGCCUCCCAUGUGACAGGGACCCAACGGGUCCCACUUAGUCUACUAGGUAUUUAAAACUGGGAUUUUCUUUAAUUCAACUUGCCAAAGCCUUUUUGUAACCCCUUUUGGCUCUUCUAAUUGCCCACCUUUUUAUAUAUUCCUCAAACAAUAUAUUCCUCCGAUUCCAACAUAUUAAAAUAUUUCACACGCUCCGUUUUUCUUUCUGACCAAAUUUUGGUGAAGGUGCAAAAGAUUUGUGCUGUCUGGAUUAGUGGGCAUUAGUUAUAAAGAGAGGUUGGAUAAACUAUAUUGUUUUCUUCAGUGCAUCAGAGAUUGAAGGGGCUGAGAUAGGAGUAUAUAAAAUUAUACGGCACAAAUGGGGUAGACAGUCAGAACCUUUUUCCAGAAUGAAAAUGUCAGGGGAGUGCGCGUGGCAAGUUUUUUUACUCAGAAAGUGGUGUUGCCUUAACACGCAGCCAGGGGUGAUGGUGAAAGUAGAUACGAUAAUAGUAGUGAAGAAGCUUUUAGAUAGGCACAUGGAUAUACAGGGAAUGGAAUAUGGAUCAUAUGUUGGCAGUGAAGAUUAGUUCAAUUUGGCUUCAUGUUCUGCACAGAUAUUGUGGGCCAAAGGCCUUGUUCCAGUGUUGCAGUGUUGCAGAACAUUCUACAUGUUCAAGCUUUUAAUCAUCUAACCUAUAUUGACUUUGGCUUAGUGCCGUUUAUUUGUCUGAUAUUUCAGUGAAGCAUCCCACUACUAUAAAAGUACUACAUCAUAAUACUAUACCACAACAUACUGUUGUCUUUCAGUCACCUCAAGUUAAACCAGUUUCAUUCCACGUUCAAUGUAAUCACUUAUUUUGGCUAUUCUUAUCAGUGCUUGUAUAUCAGGUCUGAAUAAAUAAAUACUCCAUUGGUAAGUCUGUAUCAAUGCAUGGGAUUUAUCCAUUAGUGCUGGAGCUCCUGAUGUGCAGGCCACAUGGAGCCUUGUGCUGAUUGUGAGCAUUUGGAACAGCUUGAUGUCCAGAUGUUGCCAGUGCUCUGUUUUCCAGCUCUAGAAUGGCAUGGUCGGCUGCAGUAUCAAGGAACACUUCUGAGGACUUUUGGCAAAUAUUAAUUUACUCAAUAAUAGAAAGCUCUAGUCAAGGCAGGAUAUUGAUGCAAAACGUGUCAGUGCUGGAGCAGCCAGUGUCAGAGUGGCUUGUUCUACAGUCAUUCUUUGAUGGACUUAUUAUUGACAAUGCCAGAAAUCCUCCUCGGAAGCAACCAGUUAUUCACAUUUGCUCAGAUUUGCCCUGUCCGAAGCUAUGAGGCUCUUGUGUUAAACUAAAUUUUCUAAAAAAGAAAUGAAGGAAUAAAAAAGAGACUGCAGAUGCUGGAAACUGGAACAAGAAAUAAACUGCUGGAGGGUCAAGAAGCAGCUGUGGAGGCAGAAGGUUGGUUGGCAAUCCAGGUUGAGAACCUGCGUCUGGACUUUUUAAAACCUGUUUCUGCUCCCUCUACCUUUCAGGAUCCUUAAGGGAAUGCCAAUUUAAAAUUCCCAGAACAGCCCUUCAAGAAGAUGGAAUGUAACUAUUUUGAAUUUAUCAGAACACUUGCGAGAAACAGAGGGUAGAUGGACUUCCAAGAAUCGGGUACUGACGUGUAAUUACCUGAAGAAUAUUUUUAUGUUUUGCAAUAUGAACUUGACCAAGUUGUUUAUUGCUGAGAUUUUGCCCCCGAGAAGAACCUACAUAUGCUUCCAAACAGCAUGUCUACAGAAAAUGAACCAACGUAAGGAGGUAGUGUUGUUGUGCCUUCUUGGCUGUCCCAUUGAUGUGGUUGGUCCAUGACAAAUCAUUGGUAAUAAAGAACUUGAAGCUUUCCACCAUUUCUACUUCAGUACCAUUGAUGCUGAUUGAGGUAUGUACUCUACCACUUUUCCUGAAGUUGAUAACUAGCUCCUUCAUCUUGCUGACAUUGAUGGAGCGGUUAUUGUCCUGACAACAUAUUUCUAAGUUCUCUAUUCCCUUCCGAUAUUAUGUCUCAUUAUUGUUUGUGAAGCGGCUCACAACAAUGUCAUCUGCAAACUUGUAGAUGGAGCUAGAUUACAUGCCAAUAGAGGAGAUUAGUUUAACUUGGCAUCAUAUUUGGCACAGGCAUUGCGGGUGUUGUGGUUUUCUAUCAUAACAGAGUUUUGAGAGCACAGUAUUGAAGGAGUGAAAUUAAAAAUGCUUUUUCACAGAAAGGACAUUGGUGCUUUGUAAAGUUGCACAAGGUUAAGAGUUCCCAAGGCAGUGAGAUUAUGGAAGAAAGGUGGGAAAAAUAGGACAGAAGUAUAUUGGUCAUGAUCUACGUGUUGGAAACAGGUUCAGCAGGCUGAAUUGAUGUAUCCCAUACCCAAGGGUGUGGCAGCGGUAGAGCAGUUAAACUCAAGGAUUAGUAACCCAAAUCCCUAGACCAACAAUCCAGAGAUGGGAAUUCAAAUCUGAACAUGGAAGUUGUGAAUUUAAACUAAUUUGAAAUGACUAGUCAUUAGUAACAAUUAAUGUAAAACAAUGAGAUUCUCAUCGAAACAGGAGGAAACCUGCAUCCUAACCCAAUCUGGCCCAUUUCUCUCCAAAACCAAAGACAUUAUAGACUCUUGAGUUGCCCAGGUAGUGGCAGGAGGACACGUUCCUCCGCUAUUCACCAGGGUGAUUAGUUGAUAUUAAUAUGCUUCAAUUUCAGUUAGAUUGAUGAAUCCCCUCCUUAUUCACUCCAUCUGUUCAUCACCUACACACUGGGUCCCCUACUACCAUCUGUCCACCCCGCCUCUCUCCAUUGGCUCCAUUCAUCACCUUCCUUUGUCAUCAGAUUCCAUGAUAAAGUGCUACAGAUGAUGGAAUCUGAUAACAAAGGA